Molecule: ribosomal RNA, 434 nt
Filed under: uncultured Lachnospiraceae bacterium
Lineage: Bacteria; Bacillati; Bacillota; Clostridia; Lachnospirales; Lachnospiraceae
Description: bacterial SSU rRNA
Rfam family: Bacterial small subunit ribosomal RNA
Source: RNAcentral
ACGGAAGGCAGCAGUGGGGAAUAUUGCACAAUGGGGGAAACCCUGAUGCAGCGACGCCGCGUGAGUGAAGAAGUUAUUCGUAAUGUAAAGCUCUAUCAGCAGGGAAGAAAAUGACGGUACCUGACUAAGGAGCCCCGGCUAACUACGUGCCAGCAGCCGCGGUAAUACGUAGGGGGCAAGCGUUAUCCGGAUUUACUGGGUGUAAAGGGAGCGUAGACGGUCUGGCAAGUCUGAUGUGAAAGGCAGGGGCUCAACUCCUGGACUGCAUUGGAAACUGUCAGUCUUGAGUGUCGGAGAGGUAAGCGGAAUUCCUAGUAUAGCGGUGAAAUGCGUAGAUAUUAGGAGGAACACCAGUGGCGAAGGCGGCUUACUGGACGAUAACUGACGUUGAGGCUCGAAAGCGUGGGGAGCAAACAGGAUUAGAUACCCUGGUA